RNAcentral lists this ribosomal RNA (409 nucleotides) under Corynebacterium coyleae. Its description in RNAcentral is "bacterial SSU rRNA". It matches the Rfam family "Bacterial small subunit ribosomal RNA", at positions 51 to 459 of the family's 1533-position model. The record is from RNAcentral. Lineage: Bacteria; Bacillati; Actinomycetota; Actinomycetes; Mycobacteriales; Corynebacteriaceae.
ACACAUGCAAGUCGAACGGAAAGGCUCACUGCUUGCWNGGGUACUCGAGUGGCGAACGGGUGAGUAACACGUGGGUGAUCUGCCCCGCACUUCGGGAUAAGCCUGGGAAACUGGGUCUAAUACCGGAUAGGACCACUUCUUGGAGGCYGUGGUGGAAAGUUUUUUCGGUGUGGGAUGAGCUCGCGGCCUAUCAGCUUGUUGGUGGGGUAAUGGCCUACCAAGGCGUCGACGGGUAGCCGGCCUGAGAGGGUGUACGGCCACAUUGGGACUGAGAUACGGCCCAGACUCCUACGGGAGGCAGCAGUGGGGAAUAUUGCACAAUGGGCGCAAGCCUGAUGCAGCGACGCCGCGUGGGGGAUGACGGCCUUCGGGUUGUAAACUCCUUUCGCUAGGGACGAAGCGCAAGUGA